UGAAGGUUUGUCCAAGAGGGAGAAGAGGAAGAGAAAGCGGGAAGCUUCCAGGAAAGAACUUGGACAAAUACUUAAAGCCUUCAAGCAAUCGGAGAACUCAGAACUGUUUGAAGACCUUGAUGACGAAAGUAAAGACUCAUCUACUGUUCAGGAUCCUCACAAAGAAAGAACAGCAGCUAAAGAAACUGAGUGGAAGGUCGUCCCAGAAAAAAUAGAGGAGCUUGAAAAAAAGUGCAAAAAAAGGAAGAUGAAAAAGAAGAACUCGCUCGGCUCCUGGACGAAGAAAGAGAGAGGACAAGAAGACUGACAGAUGCCCUCCUCAACAAGAUUGUAAUUGCUCCCACUGCUCAGACGGCUACAGUGCAAGUACUGUCCAUCAGGGAAAUGCUGGUGCCAGCUAUAUCUCCAGGU
Dermacentor silvarum is the source of this 411-nucleotide long non-coding RNA. RefSeq lists it as uncharacterized. The record is from RefSeq and is a predicted model, not a curated record. NCBI's taxonomy places the organism in Eukaryota, Metazoa, Arthropoda, Arachnida, Ixodida, Ixodidae. The transcript is spliced from 3 exons.